Molecule: ribosomal RNA, 253 nt
Filed under: uncultured bacterium
Lineage: Bacteria
Description: partial 16S ribosomal RNA
Rfam family: Bacterial small subunit ribosomal RNA
Source: RNAcentral
UACGUAGGUGGCAAGCGUUGUUCGGAAUUAUUGGGCGUAAAGGGCGCGUAGGCGGUCUGUUGCGUCGGCUGUGAAAACCCGGGGCUCAACUCCGGGCCUGCAGCCGAUACGGGCAGACUAGAGUUCGGCAGGGGAGACUGGAAUUCCUGGUGUAGCGGUGAAAUGCGCAGAUAUCAGGAGGAACACCGGUGGCGAAGGCGGGUCUCUGGGCCGAUACUGACGCUGAGGAGCGAAAGCGUGGGGAGCGAACAGG